GACAGCGUGUCCGAGUAGUUAAGGAGGUAGACUAGAAAUCCACAGGGCUCUGCCAGCGCAGGUUCGAAUCCUGCCGCUGUCG
RNAcentral lists this transfer RNA (82 nucleotides) under Perkinsus olseni. It matches the Rfam family "tRNA". Rfam says of the family: Transfer RNA (tRNA) molecules are approximately 80 nucleotides in length. Lineage: Eukaryota; Perkinsozoa; Perkinsida; Perkinsidae. The record is from Rfam by way of RNAcentral.